RNAcentral lists this unclassified non-coding RNA (417 nucleotides) under soil metagenome. RNAcentral describes it as "partial contains 5.8S ribosomal RNA, internal transcribed spacer 2, and large subunit ribosomal RNA". The stretch from base 1 to 120 matches the Rfam family "5.8S ribosomal RNA", at positions 35 to 154 of the family's 154-position model. The record is from RNAcentral.
GAUGAAGAACGCAGCGAAAUGCGAUAAGUAAUGUGAAUUGCAGAAUUCAGUGAAUCAUCGAAUCUUUGAACGCAUCUUGCGCUCCUUGGUAUUCCUUGGAGCAUGCCUGUUUGAGUAUCAUGAGCAAAUCUCAAAGUCAAUUCCUUUUGUUGAUUCAAUUGGUUUUGCUUUGGACUUGGAGGCCUUGCAGAUUUCACAGUCUGCUCCUCUUAAAUGCAUUAGCUGGAUCUCAGUAAUUAUGCUUGGUUCCACUCGGCGUGAUAAGUAUCACUCGCUGAGGACACUGUUAAAAAGGUGGCCAGGAAAAUACUGAUUGAACCGCUUCUAACGGUCUAUUAAGUUAGACAAUUACCCUUAAGUUUGAUCUCAAAUCAGGUAGGACUACCCGCUGAACUUAAGCAUAUCAAAAGCGGAGGA